Molecule: non-coding RNA, 29 nt
Filed under: Cricetulus griseus (Chinese hamster)
Lineage: Eukaryota; Metazoa; Chordata; Mammalia; Rodentia; Cricetidae
Source: RNAcentral
AACAAGGGAGGAGAGGACAAACUAAAGAU